This 1275-nucleotide long non-coding RNA is filed under the name Brassica napus (rape). RNAcentral describes it as "long non-coding RNA (BNAP_LNC005108)". Lineage: Eukaryota; Viridiplantae; Streptophyta; Magnoliopsida; Brassicales; Brassicaceae. The record is from RNAcentral.
ACCGCUGACUGAAGCAUAUAUCUCACCGUGAAAGUCUGGAUUUUACUCCACCCUGAGCCACCUGUGAUCAUACCAAUAAGAUUUCCCCAACUCGCACGGUACUGGUCCUUUAAAACACCUUUCAUUAGUGCUUCCCACACCUGAGCCGAGUAGGUACAUUAAAAAAACAAGUGACUCAGAGACUCCAUAGACUACUGACUGAAUUUACAAGUUGUAUCAACAACCGCAUUCCAACAUUUCAUUUGAUCUCCUGUUGAAAGUCUCCCACGAAUAGUGAUUCAGGUCAUGAAUGAGAAUUUUGGAGUAGCAUGUUUAAACCAUACCGCUUGAUGCCAAGAACAGAGUUGAUGCUUCUCUUUAAUGCUGAGCCAAGUUUCUCGUGUUGAGACACCUUCUUGUAUUUUCCUUUCUCAUUCUUCCAUAAUGAGAUAUCCUCCCCUUGACUCCAAUUCUCUUUGUAAUUUUCAAUUUCAAUUUCAACUCUGUUUAAGAUUUGCACACAAUAAUUUCUUCUUCUAUGACUUCUACUAUCCUCCACAGUAGCAUUGGUUGGAAUUCCCAUAUCUAUAUAUCCCCCUUCUCGCAAGAUAUCCUGUAAACAAUCCAUUGAAGACCAUUUUUCGUUCUAGAAUGACUCUUUUCUACCAUUGCGAACCUCCACUUUGUAAAAUUGCUUAGCUAUUUCCCGACACUUAAGAAUCUUUCUCUACAUCCAUGAACCAUCUUGAGAAUUCUCCUUAACCGUCCAUAUAGAGCCUUUUCUGAUAAGAUAAAUCUUGAUCCAACUAAUCCAUAGAGACUGAGCUGAAAGAAUCCUCCAUAUAAGCUUGAGACAGCAUACCAAAUUCAUUCUUUUAGCGGCCUCAAACCCAAUCCACCUUCUUGUUUUGUUUUACAAAUGUCUACCCAAAAUACAUUUGCUUACCUUCCAUUCAAACCCGGAUCCGACCACAGAAAAGCUGAGCAUAUUCUUUCUAUUUCUUUGAUACAGCCACUUGGGAACCGGAAAGCAGACAUCCAAAAAAGUUGUUAAACUUCUUAUGAUAGAGUUUAUUAACUGCAAACAUCCAGGAUAUGAAAGGAAUCUCCCCGUCUAGGAGCUGAUCCUCUUUAUAAUCUUUUCAACCAGAGGAAGAAAGUCUGUAACAGUCAUAUUCUUUGUUAGGAAUGGGAGUCCCAAGUAUCGUACCAGAAGCUUUCCUGUUGUAAACCCAUGUCUAGCAAUCUCUUCUUCUCUUACUAUUCUAGCCAUAAACAAGGUUGACUUCUCCAUAC